This 2758-nucleotide ribosomal RNA is filed under the name Klebsiella pneumoniae. RNAcentral's name for it is "bacterial LSU rRNA". It matches the Rfam family "Bacterial large subunit ribosomal RNA". RNAcentral also lists the same sequence under 1 other name. The record is from RNAcentral. Lineage: Bacteria; Pseudomonadati; Pseudomonadota; Gammaproteobacteria; Enterobacterales; Enterobacteriaceae.
CACUAUCGUUAACUGAAUACAUAGGUUAACGAGGCGAACCGGGGGAACUGAAACAUCUAAGUACCCCGAGGAAAAGAAAUCAACCGAGAUUCCCCCAGUAGCGGCGAGCGAACGGGGAGCAGCCCAGAGUCUGAAUCAGCUUGUGUGUUAGUGGAACGGUCUGGAAAGUCCGACGGUACAGGGUGAUAGUCCCGUACACCAAAAUGCACAGGCUGUGAACUCGAAGAGUAGGGCGGGACACGUGGUAUCCUGUCUGAAUAUGGGGGGACCAUCCUCCAAGGCUAAAUACUCCUGACUGACCGAUAGUGAACCAGUACCGUGAGGGAAAGGCGAAAAGAACCCCGGCGAGGGGAGUGAAAAAGAACCUGAAACCGUGUACGUACAAGCAGUGGGAGCACCUUUAGGUGUGACUGCGUACCUUUUGUAUAAUGGGUCAGCGACUUAUAUUCUGUAGCAAGGUUAACCGUAUAGGGGAGCCGCAGGGAAACCGAGUCUUAACUGGGCGUUAAGUUGCAGGGUAUAGACCCGAAACCCGGUGAUCUAGCCAUGGGCAGGUUGAAGGUUGGGUAACACUAACUGGAGGACCGAACCGACUAAUGUUGAAAAAUUAGCGGAUGACUUGUGGCUGGGGGUGAAAGGCCAAUCAAACCGGGAGAUAGCUGGUUCUCCCCGAAAGCUAUUUAGGUAGCGCCUCGUGAACUCAUCUUCGGGGGUAGAGCACUGUUUCGGCUAGGGGGUCAUCCCGACUUACCAACCCGAUGCAAACUACGAAUACCGAAGAAUGUUAUCACGGGAGACACACGGCGGGUGCUAACGUCCGUCGUGAAGAGGGAAACAACCCAGACCGCCAGCUAAGGUCCCAAAGUCAUGGUUAAGUGGGAAACGAUGUGGGAAGGCACAGACAGCCAGGAUGUUGGCUUAGAAGCAGCCAUCAUUUAAAGAAAGCGUAAUAGCUCACUGGUCGAGUCGGCCUGCGCGGAAGAUGUAACGGGGCUAAACCAUGCACCGAAGCUGCGGCAGCGACACUAUGUGUUGUUGGGUAGGGGAGCGUUCUGUAAGCCUGCGAAGGUGACCUGUGAGGGUUGCUGGAGGUAUCAGAAGUGCGAAUGCUGACAUAAGUAACGAUAAAGCGGGUGAAAAGCCCGCUCGCCGGAAGACCAAGGGUUCCUGUCCAACGUUAAUCGGGGCAGGGUGAGUCGACCCCUAAGGCGAGGCCGAAAGGCGUAGUCGAUGGGAAACAGGUUAAUAUUCCUGUACUUGGUGUUACUGCGAAGGGGGGACGGAGAAGGCUAUGUUAGCCGGGCGACGGUUGUCCCGGUUUAAGCAUGUAGGCUGGUUAUCCAGGCAAAUCCGGAUAAUCAAGGCUGAGGUGUGAUGACGAGGCACUACGGUGCUGAAGUAACAAAUGCCCUGCUUCCAGGAAAAGCCUCUAAGCAUCAGGUAACAUCAAAUCGUACCCCAAACCGACACAGGUGGUCAGGUAGAGAAUACCAAGGCGCUUGAGAGAACUCGGGUGAAGGAACUAGGCAAAAUGGUGCCGUAACUUCGGGAGAAGGCACGCUGGUGUGUAGGUGAAGUCCCUGCGGAUGGAGCUGAGACCAGUCGAAGAUACCAGCUGGCUGCAACUGUUUAUUAAAAACACAGCACUGUGCAAACACGAAAGUGGACGUAUACGGUGUGACGCCUGCCCGGUGCCGGAAGGUUAAUUGAUGGGGUUAUCCGUAAGGAGAAGCUCUUGAUCGAAGCCCCGGUAAACGGCGGCCGUAACUAUAACGGUCCUAAGGUAGCGAAAUUCCUUGUCGGGUAAGUUCCGACCUGCACGAAUGGCGUAAUGAUGGCCAGGCUGUCUCCACCCGAGACUCAGUGAAAUUGAACUCGCUGUGAAGAUGCAGUGUACCCGCGGCAAGACGGAAAGACCCCGUGAACCUUUACUAUAGCUUGACACUGAACAUUGAGCCUUGAUGUGUAGGAUAGGUGGGAGGCUUUGAAGCGUGGACGCCAGUCUGCGUGGAGCCAACCUUGAAAUACCACCCUUUAAUGUUUGAUGUUCUAACGUUGGCCCCUUAUCGGGGUUGCGGACAGUGUCUGGUGGGUAGUUUGACUGGGGCGGUCUCCUCCCAAAGCGUAACGGAGGAGCACGAAGGUUAGCUAAUCCUGGUCGGACAUCAGGAGGUUAGUGCAAUGGCAUAAGCUAGCUUGACUGCGAGCGUGACGGCGCGAGCAGGUGCGAAAGCAGGUCAUAGUGAUCCGGUGGUUCUGAAUGGAAGGGCCAUCGCUCAACGGAUAAAAGGUACUCCGGGGAUAACAGGCUGAUACCGCCCAAGAGUUCAUAUCGACGGCGGUGUUUGGCACCUCGAUGUCGGCUCAUCACAUCCUGGGGCUGAAGUAGGUCCCAAGGGUAUGGCUGUUCGCCAUUUAAAGUGGUACGCGAGCUGGGUUUAGAACGUCGUGAGACAGUUCGGUCCCUAUCUGCCGUGGGCGCUGGAGAAUUGAGGGGGGCUGCUCCUAGUACGAGAGGACCGGAGUGGACGCAUCACUGGUGUUCGGGUUGUCAUGCCAAUGGCACUGCCCGGUAGCUAAAUGCGGAAGAGAUAAGUGCUGAAAGCAUCUAAGCACGAAACUUGCCCCGAGAUGAGUUCUCCCUGAGACUUUAAGUCUCCUGAAGGAACGUUAAAGACGAUGACGUUGAUAGGCCGGGUGUGUAAGCGCAGCGAUGCGUUGAGCUAACCGGUACUAAUGAACCGUGAGGCUUAACCUU